Molecule: ribosomal RNA, 965 nt
Filed under: uncultured bacterium
Lineage: Bacteria
Description: partial 16S ribosomal RNA
Rfam family: Bacterial small subunit ribosomal RNA
Source: RNAcentral
UGNAUUUANNGNNCGCGAAUUCGCCCUUAGAGUUUGAUCCUGGCUCAGGACNANCGCUGGCGGCGUGCUUAACACAUGCAAGUGGAGCGACGAACCAGGGCUUGCCCUGGGGCANAGCCGCGAACGGGUGAGUAACACGUGGGUAACCUACCCCGAUGACCGGGACAACCCGAGGAAACUCGGGCUAAUACCGGAUGUCCUCGCUUCUCGUAAGGGAAUCGAGCAAAGAUAGCUUUUAGCCUUCGCAUCGGGACGGGCCCGCGGCCCAUUAGCUUGUUGGUGGGGUAACGGCCUACCAAGGCUGCGAUGGGUAGCUGGUCUGAGAGGACGAUCAGCCACACUGGGACUGAGACACGGCCCANACUCCUACGGGAGGCAGCAGUGGGGAAUUGUUCACAAUGGGCGCAAGCCUGAUGACGCAACGCCGCGUGGGGGAUGAAGGUCUUCGGAUCGUAAACCCCUGUCGAAUGGGACGAAUAGCUUCCGAAUCAAUACCUCGGAGGAAUGACGGUACCGUUAAAGGAAGCCACGGCUAACUCUGUGCCAGCAGCCGCGGUAAUACAGAGGUGGCAAGCGUUGUUCGGAAUUACUGGGCGUAAANGNNNNNUAGGCGGCCAUCUAAGUCAGACGUGAAAUCCCCCGGCUCAACCUGGGAACUGCGUCUGAUACUGGAAGGCUAGAGUUUGGGAGAGGGAUGUAGAAUUCCAGGUGUAGCGGUGAAAUGCGUAGAUAUCGGGAGGAAUACCAGUGGCGAANGCGACACCCUGNCNUUGACCUGACGCUGAGGUGCGAAAGCGUGGGGAGCGAACGGGNNUAGAUACCCCGGUAGUCCACGCUGUAAACGAUGAGCACUAGGUGUGGGUGGUGUGAAAACUAUCUGUGCCGAAGUNAACGCGCUAANNNGCUCCGCCUGGGGAGUACGGCCGCAAGGNUNAAANUCNNNGAAUUGACGGGGGCCCNCACAA